GUGUCACUGGUGGAUUGUGAGACUCAUCGAGCGUCAUCUUGAUGAUCAAUGGCCCUCGAAGGGUAGAAUUAAAAAUAUUCCAAUCCAUCGAAAAGAGUUUCGAUGAUAUUGUGAUAGAGAUCAUAAUAUAUCUCACUACCAGAUAGAAUGAAACUUAUAGGAUCACACAUUAAGGGAUUUAAUCUCGAAUUUGUCAAUUGAACUUAUGAAGUUCCAAUUG
Molecule: long non-coding RNA, 220 nt
Filed under: Elaeis guineensis (African oil palm)
Lineage: Eukaryota; Viridiplantae; Streptophyta; Magnoliopsida; Arecales; Arecaceae
Description: long non-coding RNA (EGUI_LNC073142)
Source: RNAcentral